Long non-coding RNA from Salmo trutta (river trout), 4372 nucleotides. The record is from Ensembl. Lineage: Eukaryota; Metazoa; Chordata; Actinopteri; Salmoniformes; Salmonidae.
AUAUAAUCCCCCUGUCCUCUCCCAUAACAUUCCUUCUGCGUUUCUCAUCCUCUCCUUUCCUCUCCUCCGUAGUGGGAUGCCGGUGGAUUGGCUGGUGUAUACUAUGCAGUCUCAAUGGCUGGAAGUGUUUACUCAGAGCUUCACCUGCAAACUUCCCUUCCCUGAUGAAAACAAAGAGAGAUAUGCGAGUGUGUGCUAAGACAAAGAUGUCUAAACAUGCAUUUAAUUUGAUCACAGUGAGCACACACUUUCACACAGAUGCAUUCCUUCCUCUCAGGCUUUAAUUUCUUCUCUUUCUCUCACUCAUCCUUUUCUCUGUUUGUCUGUCAGUCUCGGUCAGAUGGUGCAUGGCACUAACAUUUAUGGGAUCCUGCGGGCCCCCAGAGCCCCUCGUACUGAAGCCCUGGUGCUGAGCGUCCCCUGUAGUGAGGGAAACAACAACAACCAGGCUGGGCCUUUCCCAGUACUUCAGGAGUAAGCAUACUACUUACACAGACCAUUGGAGAAGCACCACACAAGCAUACACCCCUACCUUCUUUCUUUAAUUAAUCAGUCAAUGAUUCGGUCUCUUCUCAGGUCAGAUCCACUGGGCUAAGGAUAUCUUUCUGGCGAAUGAACAUGACCUGAUCGGCAUGCAGGCCUGGCUCGAGGGAUACCACCACACCAACACCACUGGUGGUGACUGGUCUCCGCUGCAGGGGAGAGGUGGCUCCAUCCAGGCAGCACUGUCUCUGGAGCAGAGCAGUGACAUCAUCACCAGUCUGCACCUGGUUAAGGAGGGGCUCAACGGCCAGCUGCCAAACCUGGACCUGGCCAACCUCUUCUAAGCCUUCUGCCAGAAGAUGGUAUACCUGUGUACCAUCCAGGGAAAGCUCCAGAGGAAUGAGGUCGGGCUACAGCUACGCGGCCCAGACCGUGAUGGUGUUGAAGCAGGCCAUCGGGAGGCCCUGGAGGGACCACGGCCCAUUCCUUAGAUACCACAGAGGCUGCCACCGUCAGGGGCAUCAACACCUUCAGACAGUACAAGACCGACACCACCACUAUCGGCAGGCUCCUGGAGGGGAUAUACGGGAAGCUGAACAACCUCCUGGAGCGUCUGCACCAGUUCUACUUCUCAUGCCCUCACUCUCUCGCUUUGCCUCCAGUGGUUACUACAUGCCCGCCUUCGGCCAGCUGGCUGUCAUCAUGCUGCUGCGUGUGUCCUUCGACCUCUGGGACCUUGGGGAUUCUAGUUUUAUUUAACCGUUAUUUAACCAGGUAGUCCAAUUGAGGUCAGAUUACCUUUUUCCAAAGGGAGACCUGGCCAAGAGGGGAGGAUGGUUGGAAUUUACUUUCUCCUCCUCUGUCCUUCCAUCAGCCCAGGGAUCCGGUCUAUACUGACUCCAGUAGUGAUCAGUCAUAUGACAGGGGUAGCUCUGUACACCCUGCCUAUCCUCUCACAGCAGAUGUCUGAGACUGAAACUGUGGUCCUCACUGCUAUUGUCAUCUACACAGCAGGCCCUGCCACACAACACACACAGGUACACACACACCCUCUCUUCCUCUCCCUCUCAAAUACACACUCAAAGAAAACACAACUUCUGUUUUCCCACUAGCGCUGGCUGUCGGCUAUAGAGCCGGUUACACACUCAUUUUAAGCCGGGUACGUUUUCCACUUAAAUUAACUAGGCUACUUUUUCAAUUCGCAUAUCAGAAAAAUAGGCAGCAGAGCCCUCCCACUAGAAUGAACGAAAUGCAUCUUCUAGUGAUCUUGAUAGGACAGGUGCCUGUCAAUCACAAAGUGAGCGAUGACAGGGAAACACUGCUGGUUUGACUGUCUGUCCCACCUCCCGGUACCUGUGGGUGUGUGUUGUGUACGCUGUGGUUGCAGUCACAUUUCUUUACACGAAGGGUGAGAGCAUGAUGCUCCUUCAUCGUCUGUGAGUCAAUUUGCACGUCCCAUAUAAUGUCGUCAUGAUGAGUCAAAAUCCAUUUAGCCUAUUGUUUUCUGGCACAUUCAUUUAUUUUCCUUUGCAAUUUGUACACAGCCACAAAGUGCUGGCGCAUAGGCUUACUCUGAUUUGAUUGACGAACAGCAAGCUUGACUAGUUUAUAAAUGGUGUGGAACUGACUGAAUAAAGGCGAUCUCAUAUCCUUUACAUUCAUAAAUCAUACAAUGUAGUUAUGUCUAUGAUAUCGCAUUGGGACAAGUAAACUAAAGUUCUCGUUUGUAUUUUUCAUAUGAACUCCAUCAGGACGUGCCAGACAGUGAUGUUAAAGUGACUGAUUCAUCAGUUGUACACUGGUAGACUUUUUGGCUAUUAUCUGCAGGAACAAUAGGUACAGUGGGGGAAAAAAGUAUUUGAUCCCCUGCUGAUUUUGUAUGUUUGCCCACUUACAAAGAAAUGAUCAGUCUAUAAUUUUAAUGGUAGGUUUAUUUGAACAGUGAGAGACAGAAUAACAACAAAAAAAUCCAGAAAAACGCAUGUCAAAAAUGUUAUAAAAUGAUUUGCAUUUUAAUGAGGGAAAUAAGUAUUUGACCCCUCUGCAAAACAUGACUUAGUACUUGCUGGCAAAACCCUUGUUGGCAAUCACAGAGGUCAGACGUUUCUUGUAGUUGGCCACCAGGUUUGCACACAUUUCAGGAGGGAUUUUGUCCCACUCCUCUUUUCAGAUCUUCUCCAAGUCAUUAAGGUUUCGAGGCUGACGUUUGGCAACUCGAACCUUCAGCUCCCUCCACAGAUAUUCUAUGGGAUUAAGGUCUGGAGACUGGCUAGGCCACUCCAGGACCUUAAUGUGCUUCUUCUUGAGCCACUCCUUUGUUGCCUUGGCAGUGUGUUUUGGGUCAUUGUCAUGCUGGAAUACCCAUCCACGACCCAUUUUCAAUUCCCUGGCUGAGGGAAGGAUGUUCUCACCCAAGAUUUGACGGAACAUGGCCUCAUCCAUCGUCCCUUUGAUGCGGUGAAGUUGUCCUGUCCCCUUAGCAGAAAAACACCCCCAAAGCAUAAUGUUUCCACCUCCAUGUUUGACUGUGGAGAUGGUGUUCUUGGGGUCAUAGGCAGCAUUCCUCCUCCUCCAAACACGGCGAGUUGAGUUGAUGUCAAAGAGCUCCAUUUUGGUCUCAUCUGACCACAACACUUUCACCAGUUGUCCUCUGAAUCAUUCAGAUGUUCAUUGGAAAACUUCAGACGGGCAUGUAUAUGUAUUCUUGAGCAGGGGGACCUUGCGGGCGCUGCAGGAUUUCAGUCCUUCACGGCGUAGUGUGUUACCAAUUGUUUUCUUGGUGACUAUUGUCCCAGCUGCCUUGAGAUCAUUGACAAGAUCCUCCCGUAUAGUUCUUGGCUGAUUCCUCACCGUUCUCAUGAUCAUUGCAACCCCACGAGGUGAGAUAUUGCAUGGAGCCCCAGGCCGAGGGAUAUUGACAGUUCUUUUGUGUUUCUUCCAUUUGCGAAUAAUCACACCAAAUGUUGUCACCUUCUCACCAAGCUGCUUGGCGAUGGUCUUGUAGCCCAUUCCAGCCUUGUGUAGGUCUACAAUCUUGUCCCUGAAAUCCUUGGAGAGCUCUUUGGUCUUGGCCAUGGUGGAGAGUUUGGAAUCUGAUUGAUUGAUUGCUUCUGUGGACAGGUGUCUUUUUUACAGGUAACAAGCUGCAGUUAGGAGCACUCCCUUUAAGAGUGUGCACCUAAUCUCAGCUCGUUACCUGUAUAAAAGACAUCUGGGAACCAGAAAUCCUUCUGAUUGAGAGGGGGUCAAAUACUUAUUUCCCUCAUUAAAAUGCAAAUCAAUUUAUAACAUUUUUGACAUGCGCUUUUCUGAAUAUUUUUGUUGUUAUUCUGUCUCUCACUGUUCAAAUAAACCUACCAUUAAAAUUAUAGACUGAUCCUUUCUUUAUCAGUGGGCAAACGUACAAAAUCAGCAGGGGAUCAAAUACUUUUUUCCCCCCACUGUAGGCUAGUGGAGCGAUACUCUCACACGGGUGCAAAAUAUGAUAAAAGAAAACAGAUUGAAUUGUUGUAAAAGCUAAUGAUACUUAUAUGGUAUUUUCAGAGAUAUUGAUACAGGUCUACUGAUUUAAUCAACGUGUUAACAUGCUGCUUUCUGUGUAGCAAAGCCCAUGAUUAACACUUCCUUCAUUCUUCAAUCAUACCUGUAGUGCAGAUGGCUGAGAAAAUGCCUCUUUAAAAGGAAGCUUGAAGCUUGUUGAAGUCAGCAGACUCUUACAAGAUUCUUUAAAAAAAAAUCUGUGGGUCAGAUGUUAAAGUAUUUUUUUUUAGAAUAAAUGACAUACUGCAAUUCACAGAGUUGCAAACACAAAUUUAACUGAUGUUGUUUUCUCUUCUCUUAACAUGUAUGGACCCAUAACUUAAUUGAGCAUCUAUUCUGUUUAUUUGAG